AUUGAACGCUGGCGGCAGGCUUAACACAUGCAAGUCGAGCGGGGGAAGGUAGCUUGCUACCGGACCUAGCGGCGGACGGGUGGGUAAUGCUUAGGAAUCUGCCUAUUAGUGGGGGACAACACCUCGAAAGGGAUGCUAAUACCGCAUACGUCCUACGGGAGAAAGCAGGGGAUCUUCGGACCUUGCGCUAAUAGAUGAGCCUAAGUCGGAUUAGCUAGUUGGUGGGGUAAAGGCCUAACAAGGCGAAGAUCUGUAGCGGGUCUGAGAGGAUGAUCCGCCACACUGGGACUGAGACACGGCCCAGACUCCUACGGGAGGCAGCAGUGGGGAAUACUGGACAAUGGGGGGAACCCUGAUCCAGCCAUGCCGCGUGUGUGAAGAAGGCCUUAUGGUUGUAAAGCACUUUAAGCGAGGAGGAGGCUACUCUAGUUAAUACCUAGGGAUAGUGGACGUUACUCGCAGAAUAAGCACCGGCUAACUCUGUGCCAGCAGCCGCCGUAA
This 501-nucleotide ribosomal RNA is filed under the name uncultured bacterium. RNAcentral describes it as "partial 16S ribosomal RNA". It matches the Rfam family "Bacterial small subunit ribosomal RNA", at positions 30 to 523 of the family's 1533-position model. The record is from RNAcentral.